This is an RNA transcript of Lynx canadensis (Canada lynx), 5102 nucleotides long. It is a transcript of the gene named single stranded DNA binding protein 1, with no coding region annotated. The record is from RefSeq and is a predicted model, not a curated record. The transcript has 9 exons. Lineage: Eukaryota; Metazoa; Chordata; Mammalia; Carnivora; Felidae.
CUCGAGGUUAGUUCGGGCUAGAGCGUCCGGUGAGGGUGGAGGGAGCCACGAGUUCUUUGCUAGAGGAAGACCAAAGACUAGGUUGUAGGAAAAGCAAAUAGAAGCCAUGUUUCGGAGACCUGUAUUACAGGUGUUUCAUCAGUUUGUAAGACGUGAGUCUGAAAUAGCCAGCAGCUUGGUUCUUGAAAGAUCUCUGAACCGUGUGCAGCUCCUUGGGCGAGUGGGUCAGGACCCCGUCAUGAGACAAGUGGAAGGGAAGAACCCGGUCACAAUAUUUUCUCUAGCAACGAAUGAGAUGUGGCGGUCAGGGGAGAGUGAAGUAUACCAAAUGGAUUUAGGUGAUGUCAGUCAAAAGACGACAUGGCACAGAAUAUCAGUAUUCCGACCAGGCCUCAGAGAUGUGGCAUAUCAGUAUGUGAAAAAGGGGUCCCGUAUCUAUGUGGAAGGGAAAGUCGACUAUGGUGAAUACACAGAUAAAAACAAUGUGAGGCGACAGGCAACAACAAUCAUAGCUGAUAAUAUUAUAUUUCUGAGUGACCAGACCAAAGAAAAGGCAUAGAGUGGACGAUUCUUCUUUGGCCAUUGUUUGGAACAGUAGAAAAGGAAUUGCCGUUUCCUCAUAUCAGCCGUCUUUUUUCCUGCAGCUGGGACCAUUAAUCAGUACAUGAACUCUGCUUUGUGAGUUUAUACGUUAAAACUGUCUGGUGAUGUAGCCCUCACUUCUUUAUGCCACAUUCCUUAAGGAAAAUGUAGAUAAAAUUGAUCUUUGGGCAACUCAUCGUUAGCAAAAGCUGCUUUCACACUCCUUAAAAGUUGUGAGAAGUUCUGCAGAUUAGUAUACCUGUUUAAAUAGUGUGAUGAAUCUGUGCUUUGGGAAGGUAAUAGGUGAACAGACCAAUUCAGUGACCAGCCCAGAGCAGCUCUGAGUCCAGGGCGCAGGGGCAGAAAGCUGCGCCCCGCCGGAUCCCUGUGAGCCGAAGACGUCGCCGCCCUCCCACUGCAGGUUGCCUGGAAGGCUCUGAGGUUGGGCAGCAGGGCCUUCAGAGGCGGGCGUUCGGUGCAGAGGCCUCGGCAUGAGGCUGAUGGUGCAGAUGUGAGGUCCGCAACUGGGCAGCUCCCAGAGCAUGGACUCUGCCCUUCCCUUCCUCGGGCAGCCCUGGGUGCUGAGAACUCUGCACCUCUCCCAAGCUGGUCUCGGAGUAGAUGUGUGGAACCUGGUAGCUUUAACAGUCGGUCAGGGUCUUGUAGCCCCAUGUUUUGUGUCUUGCAUUCCCUUUGUCAUCUUUUCACGGUGUCAGGGAAUAUUCCUGUGGAAAACUGCCGUGUGACUUUGAUUUUGGGAUUCCAUGUCGGGUGGGAAGAUGAGUAGGAUACACGGAGGUGUGGGAGAGAAGGUAGCAGCACGUGUGGUACUCUCCCAUUUUUGAAAAAGAAGUAAUAGGUAUGAAUAUAUGUUUAGUAAAAGUCUGGGAGGAGAAACAUCAAAAGGUUGUGAUGAUCUCUGGAUGGGGGGAUUAUGUGUGAGUUUCCUUAUUAUUCUUACUGUUUUUUAGCCUUGAGCUUCUAUUACUUUUGACAAUAAAAACCAAAUAAACUGUUUUCACUUUUGGAAAACAAAAAUCUUUCCAUUAUUUCCAAGCCAGGCUGGCACUGCUGACUGACCUUCAUUUAGUACUUACUGCUUCCUGUCCCAGAGGCGAACAAGAUAUCUUUCAUGUAUUUCCCUCCAUUGUCUGCAUCUUUGUAGUGCAUGCUCAGAUACUUCGCUUACCUUUUUUUCCCUUCUUUUUCUUUUCUUUUCCUCUUAAUACAUGUAUAUAACCUACAACAAUUGACUUUAAAGACCAACCCGUAUGAGAUCCACUGUUUGCUGUCUGUAGUUUUCAAAGAGUCAUUCAUUUCUUAAAAACGACUGGGCAGUUAAUCCAGAGACAUCCAAAAAUACCAAAGACAUGUUUUUGUGGCUGUUUUGGGGAUUUCUUGUCAUUGCCAACUGGGUUGCAGCCUAACCUUUGCAGCUCAGGAGGAAUUAUUGGUGGUUUCCCUUUGUUCCCCAAAGAGAUUGUGCAGUUCUUGAAGGUGGGGUUAUCUUUUACUCAGACUACCCGUUUGUCCCUGUCUAGCUUAGCCUAGCAAAGUGACAUUAUAGGGCUUUCAAAAUGUUUGGUUGGAUUGCACUGAAACAUUGACAUGAAAAUGAAGGCAGGCUUACUUUACUUAUUUUUCUGUCAGGGUUUGCAUUAAGUGCUGUGAAGCUUGGUGGGAGUAAUAGCAAGCAAAUCGUUGUAGAAAACUUGGUGAGUUACAGAGAAAUCUCUUAGGGAAAACAAUUACCAUAUUGAAGGCUGACCUUUUUGUGUACGUACUAGGUGCCAGGCCCUGAGCUCAGUGCUUUUUAUCAUUGUCUCAUUUCACUAUUACCCUAAGAAGGUGGUAUUAUCCUGAUUUUGCAGGUGAGGAAACCUGAAACUGCGUGGUUAAGUAACAUGUCAAAGUCAUGCAGCUUAUAAGAGGCACAGCUGGAGUUUGAGUUUAGUUAACUGUUGCUAAGGGGGUAGAAGCAGACGCCAUUUGGUGGUGCUUCCAGGAAAGCUCCUUAAAUGAUUAGCUCUGUUGGGAGGCUCAUCCUUUGUGCUUCUCCAGACCCUCACCUGGCUUUUUCUGGUCUGAAAUGUGGACAUGAUGGCUGAGAGUCUCCAGUAGCCAUUUUAGACCACAAGACUAUCUGCAGGAUGGAAGAUGGAAGAGGCUGGAGUCCGUGAUGACCAUGGAACCACCAUCGCGGUCCUGGACAGUCUACCUCUGGACUUCUUUGGGAGACACAAAUAAAUCUCUACCUUGUUUAAGCCACUUAUUUGUGAUUUGCAUUUAAACCUAAUUCUUACCAACUCACACAUUCUUUAUCUCCGUAUACACAAUUCAUUACUUCAGUUCUUUCUCUUCUAAGACCGUUCACUACUGGUAGAAGUAAAAUAUCACCUCUACUGCCACAGUCUCUCAGACUUUUAACCUAGGUCUCAUUCUUAAUUUUGGGAGGGACUGGGACAUAAAAUGUACAUGGAUCCUUAGCAAAUACCUUAAAAAAGGUAAAUACAAACUUUUUUUUAUCAGAUAGUUUAAUUUUGCCUGAAGCCUGAAAUGAGGACCCUUAGUUAACAGCCCCUUGUUUACUAAAGUAGCACGUAAAUAAGAACAGAAGUACUGACCUUCUGCUUCUCCUGGCAGUAUAGCAGACUAGCUAAUCUGGAGUGAGGAGGUGUCCCACUGCAAAAUAAGUAUGACAUAGUUUUUAUUGCAUUCUAGAGAAUCUAAGUUCGGGCCGCCAUAACAAAAUACCAUAGAGUAGGUGAUUUAAACAACAGACGUUUUGCGAUUCUGGAGGCUAGAAGUCUCAGAACGGGGUGCAGGAUGGUUGGUUUCCUGGGAGGCCCAUGUUGCUGGCUUAUAAGUGGCUACCAUCUCACCGUGUCCUCACAUGGCCUCCUAUUUGUGCUGGCAGAGCAUGAACUCUCUGGUGUCUAUAAGGACACUAAUGCAGUUGUGUCAGGGCCCCACCCUUAGGGCCUGGGUUCACUUUAUCUUCUUACUGGCCCAAUCUCAAAAUGUAGUUACAUUGGGGAUUAGACUUCUAUAUGUGAAUGUUGAGUGGGCACAGUUCAAUCUGUAGCAUUGGGCUUGCAGGAAGAAAGGGACUUUUUCAAGUGACAGGUUCUAAACUAAACGGAAACGAGCAAUAAGUAGGUGACACACUGAAAAAAGGGAGUUCCCUGAUGACAUGCUAAUACUGACAUCAUGGUUUGGAGAUAAAAACAAAGGAUAUGUGUCAAAGGUGUGCCUCAAACAGACUUGAAAUUAGAAGAGCAUUUUUCGUAAAAUGAAAAAGGCAAGGAUGUCUUAUCACUACUUCUCUUUGACAGGUUGUUUGUACUGAGGCUUUAGCAAGCAUAGUUGGGAAGGAAAGAAAACGUAUUAAGAUGGAAAGGAAGAAAGUCACAAAUGCUGUGAUUACACAGAAACCAUGAAAGAAAAGAAUCUGUAGAUGAAUAAUUAAAAGUUGCUGGAAAUAAGAUCAGUUUACAAAAAACUGCAAACAGCAGUGAAGAUGCCAUGUACAAGAGCAUCAGAAAAUGAGUCUUCCAAGAGUGUGGUCUCUGUGGAGCACAUUAUGAAACUUGAUUGAAAUACGUUAAAAGAAGACUAAACACAUUGGUAAAUCAUGUUUAUUGUAAGCACCAAUCAUGUAAAGAUUUCAACCCUCCCCCACAUUGAUGUUACAGAUCAAAACAAAAAUUCCCAGUUUCUUGGGGGCAACUGGACAAGUUGACUCUAAAGAUGCGUUGAUACGCAAAGGUCCACGAUCACACAACAUACUUCUGAAGAAGAGUGAGAUGGGGGACUUGCUCUGCCAGUUGGCAAGCCUUUUUAAAACGAAAGCUAUAGUGAUAAAAAAACUGUUCUAUGGAUACAGGAAUAAACAGGGCAGUGGCGUAGCAAAGAGAACCCAGAAACAGACCAUGCAUAUGUAGAAAAUGAUAAAAGUGGCAUAGAUCAGUGGGUCUAGAUUGUUUCAAUUAUGCCAGGGAGAUUUGUUAUCCAUGCAGAAGAAAAUGAAAUCAGGUAUCUACACCUUAUGCAAAGAUAAAUUCUUGGUGAUUUAAAGACAUUUGUGAAAGGCAAAAUUAAAAAUUUUGGAAGAAACUAUAAUACAAUGUCUAUGAUCUGGUGGCAUAGAAAUGUUCUCUUUUAAACAAAAAUGUAAAUACAGAGAAGAGGGAUACAUUUAACUGUUAAAAAUAGCUUGUUUAUAGAAAGCCACUGGAAAGAAAGCAAAAUGACAAGUCACAAACUGGAGAGAAGAUAUUUGCAAUCAUAUAACUGAAAUAUAACUUAGAAUAUAUAAGGGUUGCAAAGCAAAAAAAAUACGAUCUAGAAUAUAGGAAGGCCUACAAAGCAACCAGGAGACAACCGGUUAGAAAAAUGGGCAAAGACACAGAGGCUGUGAAAUAUAAAUAAUCCAUUCAUAUGUGAAAAAGUGGUCAACUUCAUUAAUAAGGAAAACCACUUGCAAUGUUGUGGAUGGGGCUAGAGUGUAUUAUGCUAAG